CCCACCGUUCCCUUCGAUCUUUACCAUUUUCUCUGUUUGCAAUCAACCCAUCCCUCUGUUAAAGUAGAAGCCUAACAUUGCAAUUAUGUUAUUGAAAGAAGCCUAUCUUUCCAAUUAUAUAUGGAGUCCUUCCAUCCCUCUGUUAACUUUCGAACCAUUAUAAGUAGAACCAUAGCUUUGCAUUCUCUUUGCCAUUACACUAUCAUCAAAUAGUAUUUCAGAGCAACUCUCCUUUGUUGAAGCCAUCGACUGCCUCUGACCGAGUGGAGUCGCAAAUUACUGUUUGAGAUCAAAUCGGCAGCCAAUUCUGUGUUAAGUUGAAUGUUUGGGUUUAAUUUAUGCGUUGUUGCAUGCAUACUUGGGUUUGUGGCUGUUUAAAUAUAAAUUAAAGUGCGAUACCUACUUCCUUUUCAUCGUCUUCUUCUUCCCCCUUUCUCUGCAUUCGGUAUUUUGCUUCUCUACUUCUUCUUUAAGAGGCUGCUUGUUUGGGAACUUAAUGUCGAAGCCUAACAAAUGGGCAUUUGCAGAGUUUUCCAUCCCACUGUUUGUUGAAGUCGUCAAUUGCCUCUACCUCUCAGCCUCAAGGUCAAGGUUUGGCUGAGAGCUGCUAUAGUACUAUGGAUGCAGAGUGUCAAAAGAGAACUCUUGAAGCUUUGUGUCAGGACUAUCAACAUAAAGUUGGACCCAUAUUUGCUGGGCAUGAUUGUUGCAGUCAAAUUCAUCAACUUCCAUUCGGGUGUUUCAGUAUUAAAAUGGUUGAUGAAUCAGUGGAUCGCUGCAAAAAGAAUCGAGACACGGUUUGGAUGAGGAUGAGUCAUAUUUACGGAUAUUGUACUAGAGAUAUCUAUGAUUAGUCAAUAUUAAUUUAUUUUAAGUUGAAUAAUGGAAAUAUUAAUUACAUUUUAGCAUCACAAUUUAUGUAAUGUAAUGUUGUUCUAAUAACUAAUUAUAGACGUAAUAUUAUACAUUCUAUCCUAAAAA
This is a long non-coding RNA of Salvia splendens (bonfire salvia), 981 nucleotides long. RefSeq lists it as uncharacterized. NCBI's taxonomy places the organism in Eukaryota, Viridiplantae, Streptophyta, Magnoliopsida, Lamiales, Lamiaceae. The transcript is spliced from 2 exons. The record is from RefSeq and is a predicted model, not a curated record.